AUUGCUUCUUGGCCUUUUGGCUAAGAUCAAGUGUAGUUUGGAUUCUACCUUUAUUGAUAUAAAAUUUCAGUCUGUCCUGUUAAUAGUCUACCUGGAAUUUGACUUAGUCAAAAAUAAU
Small nuclear RNA from Heterocephalus glaber (naked mole-rat), 118 nucleotides. Its record names the gene U2. It matches the Rfam family "U2 spliceosomal RNA". From Rfam's summary of the family: U2 is a small nuclear RNA (snRNA) component of the spliceosome (involved in pre-mRNA splicing). Complementary binding between U2 snRNA (in an area lying towards the 5' end but 3' to hairpin I) and the branchpoint sequence (BPS) of the intron results the bulging out of an unpaired adenosine, on the BPS, which initiates a nucleophilic attack at the intronic 5' splice site, thus starting the first of two transesterification reactions that mediate splicing. The record is from Ensembl. Lineage: Eukaryota; Metazoa; Chordata; Mammalia; Rodentia; Bathyergidae.